Molecule: ribosomal RNA, 253 nt
Filed under: uncultured bacterium
Lineage: Bacteria
Description: partial 16S ribosomal RNA
Rfam family: Bacterial small subunit ribosomal RNA
Source: RNAcentral
UACAGAGGGUGCGAGCGUUAAUCGGAAUUACUGGGCGUAAAGCGCACGUAGGUGGCUUUGCAAGUCGAUUGUGAAAUCCCCGGGCUUAACCUGGGAACUGCAGUCGAGACUGCUCUGCUUGAGUAUGGGAGAGGGAGGUGGAAUUUCCGGUGUAGCGGUGAAAUGCGUAGAUAUCGUGAGGAAUACCAGAGGCGAAGGCGGCUACCUGGACAAUUGCUGACGCUCAGGCACGAAAGCGUGGGGAGCAAAAGGG